This 775-nucleotide ribosomal RNA is filed under the name uncultured Neocallimastigales. RNAcentral's name for it is "partial large subunit ribosomal RNA". It matches the Rfam family "Eukaryotic large subunit ribosomal RNA", at positions 26 to 644 of the family's 3401-position model. The record is from RNAcentral. Lineage: Eukaryota; Fungi; Neocallimastigomycota; Neocallimastigomycetes; Neocallimastigales.
CGCAUCUGUGCAUGCAGCAUAUCAAUAAGCGGAGGAAAAGAAACUAACAAGGAUUCCCCUAGUAACGGCGAGUGAAGCGGGAAGAGCUCAAAUUUGAAAUCUUAAAGGGUUUCCCUUUACGAAUUGUAGUUUAAAGAAGUGUUUUCUGUUGAGGUUUUGGUAAAAGUUCUUUGGAAUAGGACAUCAUAGAGGGUGAGAAUCCCGUAUUUGACCUUUACUUUACAACUUUGUGAUACACUUUCAAAGAGUCGGAUUGUUUGGGAAUGCAGUCCAAAAUGGGUGGUAAAUUUCAUCUAAAGCUAAAUAUUGGCGAGAGACCGAUAGCGGACAAGUACCGUGAGGGAAAGAUGAAAAGAACUUUGAAAAGAGAGUUAAACAGUACGUGAAAUUGUCAAAAGGGAAGCGUUUGACACCAGUGUUGUUUUUCUGAAAAUCAAUUAAAGAACUGGUUAUGCUAAGUUGUUUAGACUUUAUCAGCUAACUGUUUAGUUUUGAGCUUUUCUUUAAUGCACUUUUCAGUUAACAAGUCAACAUCAAUUUCUUUUGCUGUAAAAAAGCUUGAGGAAGGUGGCUUGAGAUUCGUCUUAAGUGUUUAUAGCCUCUUGCCUAUGCAGUCGGAGAGAUUGAGGUCUGCAGCGUAGAUCCUUCGGGGCUAAAUGCAUUUGUGCUAAGUUAUAGCAUUUUAUAGACAACUUGUUGACUAUGAUUUGUCUUGUAGCUUACUCGCUUAUGUUAUUUUACCUACGCUUAGGAUGUUGAAUCUGUGCGAGACUAC